AUUGAACGCUGGCGGCAUGCCUUACACAUGCAAGUCGAACGGCAGCGCGGACUUCGGUCUGGCGGCGAGUGGCGAACGGGUGAGUAAUACAUCGGAACGUACCCUGUUGUGGGGGAUAACUAGUCGAAAGAUUAGCUAAUACCGCAUACGACCUGAGGGUGAAAGUGGGGGACCGCAAGGCCUCACGCAGCAGGAGCGGCCGAUGUCUGAUUAGCUAGUUGGCGGGGAAAAGGCCCACCAAGGCGACGAUCAGUAGCGGGUCUGAGAGGACGAUCAGCCACACUGGGACUGAGACACGGCCCAGACUCCUACGGGAGGCAGCAGUGGGGAAUUUUGGACAAUGGGGGCAACCCUGAUCCAGCAAUGCCGCGUGUGUGAAGAAGGCCUUCGGGUUGUAAAGCACUUUUGUCCGGAAAGAAAUCGCGCUGGUUAAUACCUGGCGUGGAUGACGGUACCGGAAGAAUAAGCACCGGCUAACUACGUGCCAGCAGCCGCCGUAA
Molecule: ribosomal RNA, 500 nt
Filed under: uncultured bacterium
Lineage: Bacteria
Description: partial 16S ribosomal RNA
Rfam family: Bacterial small subunit ribosomal RNA
Source: RNAcentral